AGAACGCACAAAAAUGAAGCACGCUGCUAUCGAAUGUCUGUCUUUAUUCCAAAAUUCGUUGUCAUUAAAUCGCAGCAAACAUUUACUCAUUCUUGGCACUGGAAUUUCUGGACUGUAUCUUGUUGGACAAAUCUACGUCUCUUACAAGAAAGCCCAACGCAGGAAGAAAUGGGCUUCUGUGGAGAAGAAUAUGGUUAUCCUUCAUCAGUUUGAACGGGGAAAAUUCACGCCCAAUGUUUCUCCGUAGCCCCCUGAAGUUGGAGACAUACCUGAGAAUGACUGGCAUUCCUUAUGAGGUAAAACUCCAUGGAUCACACUUAAUGGUGACAAGAUUGCUGACUCACAGCUGUGCAUGGAGCUGUUGGCCAGAAAGUUCCACAAAGAUUGCAGUUCUCACUUGUCACCCAAAGAGCAAGCCAUAGUGUGGUCAUUCCACAUUAUGGCUGAGGAGCAUCUCUAUUAGGGUUUGCUUCUGUGGCGCUGGGUGUACACCAAACGAAGGACCCUCUGGCAAGUUCCAGUUCAAACAACACUGAUUUAGCUUCAGUAUUUCAGUAAUAACUUGUUUAACACAGGUUCAAUGCAACCUUCCUAAAAGUCUCAGCCUGAUAUGUUGCCUUUAGUUGUCAAGAAAUUGAAAGGCCAAGCUCAAGGGCAAGGAAUAGGAAUGGGUCUGCACACUGAAGCCGAAGUCAUUGAAAUGAGCGUUAAGGACUUGCGAGCCAUUUCCAAUUUCCUUGGUACCAAACAAUUUCUGAUGGGUGACAAAGCAAUUGAAGCAAAUUGUGCCGUCUAUGGAAUUCUCAGCCAGUUGCUGUGAAACUGCCCAGGCUCCCCAUUUGAAUGUUUCCUUUCUAUAUAUCUAAACGAUCUCCCUUGCAAAAUAUGAAAUAGUACUUGUCGGUGUAGUAAGUAAAAGUCUGAGAUUAUGUUUAUA
RNAcentral lists this unclassified non-coding RNA (937 nucleotides) under Daphnia pulicaria. Its description in RNAcentral is "uncharacterized LOC124321119, transcript variant X1". Lineage: Eukaryota; Metazoa; Arthropoda; Branchiopoda; Diplostraca; Daphniidae. The record is from RNAcentral.